ACCAACCCCAGUCCCCAUAUACCAGGGUUUUGGUCCGACGACCAAUAUGUAACUGUGCAGCCUAUUCUACAGUCGAUCUAGCGCCUGGACCCACCAGGUCUUAAUCUAAAGUACUGACGUGGCGAUAUCAGAGGCGUUAGCAAAAUACCGCACUGUUUCCGAACUCCGACGUAUCGGCGUACUUGAACCCUCGCCGUUCAAAUUUUCUCGCGAACCAAACAGCCACUUUCCUUCUUCUCCAUCACCAUAUUACCUCUCUCUCUCUCUCCAAAGGCCCAAAGAUGAAUCCGUUUGAUCAAACCCCAGACCAGUUCUCUUCUUUCCCUCCUCUCCAGUUCAUUCCAUAUCCACCUCCACUAAACCCUAACUCUAAUCCUAAUCCGAAUGCUAAUUCGAGUCCCUAUAAUCCAACCCAAAUCCCAAUCCAAGACCCUAAUUCUACCUCACCAAGCCAUCUUCUCUCAUUCACAGUUCCCAAGAAGCGAAGGCGAGGCCGGCCUCAACGGAAAGCAACGUCGUUUCACCUUCCUCUCAUCCCUAACGUCACUCUCAACGGUAAUAAUGGUCUUUUCCCUUCGUCUUCCUCUACUUCUAAUUCAGUUUCAGCUCCUUUGUUCAGACCCAAUGUAGAAAACCCUAAUUCGUCAACUCAAACUGUAGCCGAUACCUCUGAUGAGAUCAUCGUGAUAAAUAAAGAAUCCACGGCCGAGGCCUUGAUUGCUCUCUCGGCUGGGUUUCCUGCCGAUUCACUCACUGAGGAGGAAAUCGAUGCCGGGGUUGUCCCUUUAAUCGGAGGGAUCGAGCAAGUCAAUUACAUUCUUAUCCGGAACCACAUUAUCGCAAAAUGGCGUGAGAAUGUGUCAAAUUGGGUCACUAAAGAGAUGUUUAUUGAUGCUAUACCUAAACAUUGUCAUACUCUUUUGGACUCUACUUAUAAUUAUUUAGUUUCACAUGGGUAUAUCAAUUUUGGGGUUGCACCAGCGAUCAAGGAAAAGAUCCCGGCUGAACUUAUUAAGUCGAAUGUGAUUGUGAUUGGUGCCGGGCUUGCGGGGCUGGCUGCUGCACGGCAAUUGAUGAGAUUUGGGUUCAAGGUGACUGUUUUAGAGGGUAGGAAGCGAGCAGGUGGGCGAGUUUAUACAAAGAAAAUGGAGGGAGGGAAUAGGCUGUGUGCAGCGGCAGAUUUAGGGGGUAGUGUUUUGACAGGUACUUUAGGGAAUCCACUUGGGAUUGUUGCUCGACAGUUGGGUUAUCCGCUUCAUAAGGUGAGAGAUAAGUGCCCACUAUAUAGUUUGGAUGGAAAGCCAGUUGACCCUGAUAUGGAUAUGAAGGUGGAAACUGCUUUUAACCGUCUUUUGGACAAAGCAAGUAGACUUAGGCAGUUAAUGGGGGAGGUCUCAGUAGAUGUAUCUCUUGGUGCAGCAUUGGAAACAUUCCGGCAGGUUUAUGGGGAUGCCGUGAAUGCUGAGGAGAUGAACUUGUUUAACUGGCAUCUUGCAAAUUUGGAAUAUGCAAAUGCCGGUUUGCUUUCAAAGCUUUCCCUUGCAUUUUGGGACCAAGAUGACCCUUAUGAUAUGGGAGGGGACCAUUGCUUCUUGCCUGGAGGGAAUGGAAGGCUGGUUCAUGCUUUGGCUGAGAAUGUGCCAAUUUUAUAUGAGAAAACUGUACACACCAUUAGGUAUGGUAGUGAUGGUGUGCAGGUCAUUGCAGGGAGUCAGGUUUUUGAGGGUGACAUGGCCCUAUGCACAGUUCCGCUUGGGGUUUUAAAGAGUGGGUCCAUAAAAUUUAUUCCAGAGUUGCCUCAGAGAAAGCUUGAUGGGAUAAAGAGGCUGGGGUUUGGGUUGUUGAAUAAGGUUGCAAUGCUAUUUCCUCACGUAUUUUGGGGCACUGAUCUUGAUACCUUUGGGCAUCUUUCUGAUGAUCCAAGCCGUCGAGGGGAGUUCUUUCUCUUUUAUAGCUAUGCAACAGUUGCUGGUGGUCCUCUCUUGAUUGCUCUGGUAGCAGGAGAAGCGGCUCACAAGUUUGAGAGCAUGCCCCCCACAGAUGCAGUGACCCGUGUUCUUCAAAUUCUCAAGGGUAUCUUUGAACCGCAAGGAAUCAUUGUUCCGGAGCCUAUCCAAACAGUUUGUACCAGAUGGGGUGGUGAUCCCUUCAGUCUAGGUUCUUACUCUAAUGUUGCAGUUGGCGCAUCAGGAGAUGAUUAUGAUAUUUUGGCAGAAAGUGUGGGAGAUGGAAGGCUUUUCUUUGCAGGGGAGGCCACCACUAGGCGAUACCCAGCAACUAUGCACGGAGCUUUUGUCAGUGGGUUAAGAGAAUCUUCAAAUAUGGCUCAUUAUGCUAAUGCUCGGACCUUGAGAAAAAAGAUUGACAGGAGUCCAUCGAAGAAUGCCCAUUCUUGUGCUUCCCUUCUUGCAGAUUUAUUUAGGGAGCCUGAUCUAGAAUUUGGGAGCUUUUCUGUUAUUUUUGCUCAGAAGAAUGCUGAUCCCAGGUCAGCAGCAAUUUUGAGAGUGACAUUUAGUGAACCUCGAAAGAAGAGUCAUGAAGGUUCAAAACCAGAUCAACAGCAUUCAAAUAAGUUACUUUUUCAGCAGCUUCAGUCACAUUUUAAUCAUCAGCAACAGCUUCAUGUUUACACUUUGUUAUCAAGACAACAGGCACUUGAGCUGAGAGAGGUGAGAGGAGGUGAUGAAAUGAGAUUGAAUCACCUCUGUGAAAAGUUGGGGGUGAAGCUGGUGGGAAGAAAAGGUCUCGGGUCUACUGCUGAUUCUGUGAUUGCUUCCAUCAAGGCUGAGAGGGGCAACCGCAAACCUGCUCCAACUACUUUGGCGCUCAAAUCAGGGGCAUCAAAGCUGAACACGGGCAUUUUGAAGCGAAAAAUGGUGAGAAAGGCUAAAAUAGUGCGUAGCAGCAAUGGGCCAGCAGCGCCUACUAAUUCAAAUGUGGUAAAUAGUAAAGUGUCGGAGGAAACUAGGGCGUCAGAGGAAAUCAGGCCUGCAGAUCAAAUGCUUCUUGACACGCUUGGUUCAGGUAAUAUAUAGAGGGGCAAAAUCAAGGUGACAUGUUGAAACAAUGAGUAGACAGACUUGAGAGAAGGAUUUGCUCUUCACCUCCGAAUCUAUCAACAAGGGCCAAUUUGCAAUCUGUGACCAAGUCUGUUCCCGGCCUCAUAAUUGCUAUUUUUACUCACGACCUUUGGCCGGAUCACUACCAGUGCCUUCAUCAGCUUGUUGAAGAUGACUAUGCUACUUGCAGGAGGACCACUCUGCUGUUUGUCUUCUCUGCUGGUAAGGUGAUAAAUGCAAUGUCAAAGUGAACAUUGAGCAAGGGUCAGGCUUCUCGGUUGUUUGGCUUCAUGUUGCCCAGAGUCUGCAAGGCAUCUUCUCAAGAUGCCUGUGAAUUGAUUGGAGCUUGUGAUCAAGACCUCAGUGGUUGUGAUCAAGCCGCUGGUGAAUCUCUUGAGAGCAAUGUUGGCCCAGAAAUGCCAUUCAGAUGAGACAAGUUUGCUGCCGAGCUGAUUGUAGGAUGGAUGGAUGAGGACGGCUGAUGGCUGAGCCUUCACUUUUGACAAGUGGAGUCAUGGUCGGAUUUAUGUUGGUGCAACUGCCUCUACUUGAGAAGUAUCAAAUAUGUAAACUAUGGUCUUGUGGCUAAUUCUCAUAUUUUGUGUGAAUGGCAAAUCAAACCUUAUUUCCAUUUGUCAACAAUAUUCUCAGCUUACAAAAAAAAAAAAUGAUAUUUAAGAUUAUGGUGGGAUGAAUUAUGUUU
Corylus avellana is the source of this 3762-nucleotide RNA transcript. It is a transcript of the gene named protein FLOWERING locus D-like protein, with no coding region annotated. The record is from RefSeq and is a predicted model, not a curated record. Lineage: Eukaryota; Viridiplantae; Streptophyta; Magnoliopsida; Fagales; Betulaceae.